UUGGACGGCCAGAGGGGCGUGGUUCACUCGUUCCCAUUUCGAACACGAAAGUUAAGAACGUCUCCGUAUCGGUCUGUACUGCAUUGCGCGGGAAAUCCGGUAAGCUGUCCAUC
This 113-nucleotide ribosomal RNA is filed under the name Nanobdellota archaeon. The record is from RNAcentral. Lineage: Archaea; Nanobdellati; Nanobdellota.